RNAcentral lists this unclassified non-coding RNA (497 nucleotides) under uncultured Glomus. RNAcentral's name for it is "bacterial SSU rRNA". It matches the Rfam family "Eukaryotic small subunit ribosomal RNA", at positions 591 to 1092 of the family's 1831-position model. Lineage: Eukaryota; Fungi; Glomeromycota; Glomeromycetes; Glomerales; Glomeraceae. The record is from RNAcentral.
CCAAUAGCGUAUAUUAAAGUUGUUGCAGUUAAAAAGCUCGUAGUUGAAUUUCGGGAUCAAUAUAUCGGUCGUGCCAUUGGUACGUACUGGUAUCAUUGGUUUCUCCUUUCUGACGAACCAUGAUGUCAUUAAUUUGGUGUUAUGGGAAGUUAGGACUGUUACUUUGAAAAAAUUAGCGUGUUUAAAGCAGGCUUUAGCUUGAAUACAUUAGCAUGGAAUAAUGAAAUAGGACGUUUGAUUCUAUUUUGUUGGUUUCUAGGAUCGACGUAAUGAUUAAUAGGGAUAGUUGGGGGCAUUAGUAUUAAAUUGUCAGAGGUGAAAUUCUUGGAUUUAUUGAAGACUAACUACUGCGAAAGCAUUUGCCAAGGAUGUUUUCAUUAAUCAAGAACGAAAGUUAGAGGUUCGAAGGCGAUCAGAUACCGCCCUAGUUCUAACCAUAAACGAUGCCGACCGGCGAUCCGCUGUCGUUACUUGAAUGACUCAGCGGGCAGCCUCCG